This 253-nucleotide ribosomal RNA is filed under the name uncultured bacterium. RNAcentral describes it as "partial 16S ribosomal RNA". It matches the Rfam family "Bacterial small subunit ribosomal RNA", at positions 524 to 776 of the family's 1533-position model. The record is from RNAcentral.
UACGAGGGGGGCAAGCGUUGUUCGGAAUUAUUGGGCGUAAAGGGUGCGUAGGCGGUCCGGCAAGUUUUAUGUGAAAUCUUCAGGCUCAACUUGAAGUCUGCAUAAAAAACUGCCGGGCUUGAGUGUGGGAGAGGUGAGUGGAAUUUCCGGUGUAGCGGUGAAAUGCGUAGAUAUCGGAAGGAACACCCGUGGCGAAAGCGGCUCACUGGACCACUACUGACGCUGAGGCACGAAAGCUAGGGGAGCAAACAGG